This 254-nucleotide ribosomal RNA is filed under the name uncultured bacterium. Its description in RNAcentral is "partial 16S ribosomal RNA". It matches the Rfam family "Bacterial small subunit ribosomal RNA", at positions 524 to 776 of the family's 1533-position model. The record is from RNAcentral.
UACGUAGGGAGCAAGCGUUGUCCGGAUUUAUUGGGCGUAAAGAGCUCGUAGGCGGUUCGGUAAGUCGGGUGUGAAAACUCUGGGCUCAACCCGGAGAGGCCACUCGAUACUGCUGUGACUUGAGUCUGGUAGGGGAGCACGGAAUUCCUGGUGUAGCGGUGAAAUGCACAGAUAUCAGGAGGAACACCAGUGGCGAAGGCGGCGAUCUGGGUCGUUGCUGACGCUGAGGCGCGAAAGCGUGGGGAGCAAACAGG